Manis pentadactyla (Chinese pangolin) is the source of this 1005-nucleotide long non-coding RNA. RefSeq lists it as uncharacterized. The transcript is spliced from 4 exons. NCBI's taxonomy places the organism in Eukaryota, Metazoa, Chordata, Mammalia, Pholidota, Manidae. The record is from RefSeq and is a predicted model, not a curated record.
GGGAGAGAGCACAUCUGAUUUGUUCAGGAAAGAGUUGAGACCCCUGCUUAGUCAGAGGGUGAACUUUUCACAAAGAUCCCCUUUUAGGCGUUUGGGCUGUAUAGGACUUGGCUGACUGUGGACAGGAAAUUAGGCUUGUUUUAGCAAGUUUCCAGGCAAAACAAAGCUGGGAAUAAAGGCUUUCAUGAUGGAUAAAAAAACUGAGCCUCAAAUAGAUUUCACUGGACUGGAGUGAUGAGCUGAAGUCAAGAAAAUUAAAUUAUAUCUGUCAGGGACCCAGUGGGAACACAUCACAUUCUCAGAAGGUUUAAUUGAAGAGAGCAUAACGUGGGGGCUAUUUACAGAGGUGAGACAGGGUUAAGGGAACUCACACUGGGUGGUGACAUGCCCAGGGGCCAGCGAAAGUAAGACACUGUGAUCACUCCUAGGCUAGUGCCCUUGUUCCGUAGACCAAAUGUUUGUGUCCACCAAAAAUGCAUAUGUUGAAAUCCUAACCCCCAUCGUGAUGGUGUUAGGAGGUGGGGCCUUUGGGAGGAGAUUAGGUCAGGAGGAUUGAGCCUGUCAUGAAUGGGGUUUAAUGCCCUGAUAAAAAGACAUAAGACAGCUUGCUUUGUCUUGCUUUACUCUCCCCUGUAUGAGGAUACGAGAAGACAGCCAUCUGCAGACCAAGAAGCCAGCAUCACCAGACACCAGAUCUGCUGGCAACUUGAUCUUGGACUUCCUGGACUCCAGAACUUAAGAGGAGGACAGAUACUUUUUCACCACUGCAUCCCAAUACCUAAUGCUUGGCUCCUGGGAGGUGCUCAGAGUGUUCACUGAACAAAGUGCUCCAAAAGCAGCAAGAAGAUACCCUGCAGGGAGUUUCUCAGGGUGCUUUGAAGACUCCAGGUGCUACUCUACUUGUAAAGAGCUCUGAACAGCUUGUGAGGACACAGAAGGUGACCAUCUGCAAGCCAGGAAUAGGGCUCUCACCAGACACCAAACCUGCCAACACUCUGCUCCAGG